Molecule: transfer RNA, 85 nt
Filed under: Rhipicephalus microplus (southern cattle tick)
Lineage: Eukaryota; Metazoa; Arthropoda; Arachnida; Ixodida; Ixodidae
Description: tRNA-Cys
Rfam family: tRNA
About the family: Transfer RNA (tRNA) molecules are approximately 80 nucleotides in length. Their secondary structure includes four short double-helical elements and three loops (D, anti-codon, and T loops).
Source: RNAcentral
AUCAGAAUGGCCGAGUGGUCUAAAGGCUCCAGACUGCAAUUCUGGUCCACGUAUGUGGGCGUGGGUUCGAUUCACACUUCUGACA